GACGAACGCUGGCGGCGUGCCUAAUACAUGCAAGUCGAACGCUUCUUUUUCACCGAACUUCGGUUCAUCGAAAAAGAGGAGUGGCGAACGGGUGAGUAACACGUGGGUAACCUGCCCAUCAGAAGGGGAUAACACUUGGAAACAGGUGCUAAUACCGUAUAAUGCUUUUUCUCGCAUGAGAGCAAGCUGAAAGGCGCUUUUGCGUCACUGAUGGAUGGACCCGCGGUGCAUUAGCUGGUUGGUGAGGUAACGGCUCACCAAGGCCACGAUGCAUAGCCGACCUGAGAGGGUGAUCGGCCACACUGGGACUGAGACACGGCCCAGACUCCUACGGGAGGCAGCAGUAGGGAAUCUUCGGCAAUGGACGAAAGUCUGACCGAGCAACGCCGCGUGAGUGAAGAAGGUUUUCGGAUCGUAAAACUCUGUUGUUAGAGAAGAACAAGGAUGAGAGUAAAAUGUUCAUCCCUGAC
Molecule: ribosomal RNA, 470 nt
Filed under: Enterococcus sp. oral taxon A43
Lineage: Bacteria; Bacillati; Bacillota; Bacilli; Lactobacillales; Enterococcaceae
Description: bacterial SSU rRNA
Rfam family: Bacterial small subunit ribosomal RNA
Source: RNAcentral